Molecule: long non-coding RNA, 27189 nt
Organism: Catharus ustulatus (Swainson's thrush)
Lineage: Eukaryota; Metazoa; Chordata; Aves; Passeriformes; Turdidae
Exons: 2
Source: RefSeq, a predicted model, not a curated record
AGGGGCUGAAGCCGUGGCUGCUGCCUCCCGUCCCUCCGUCCGUCCCUCCCUCCCUCCGGCGGCCCGGGGUGGCACGGGCCGGGGAAUGCCGGGACAGCGAGGACUGGUCCCGCCUGGUACGGAGAACAGCGCUCCGCAGCGGGAGAGCGGCCGGGAGGGCAGCGCCGGUUGGAGGCUGGCUGCAGGAAUGAGGAGGAGCAGGACCGUAAUCGCACUGAGCAGGUUGUGCUCAAUGGGCGCCGUCAGAUCGCCUCCCACAUGAUCUCGUAUGCGCCACACGCGCAGGAACACAUGGAGAACCAUUUUACAGUGAUUGCGAGGGAUUACAAGGUAACACAUUUCAGAAGCAUGAUACCAAUAGAACGAUGGAAGACAGUCCGAAUUCAAGAUCACAUCAUAUCAGUUAUGGGGCCUUGUUGUGAGUCUUUUUUGAGAGCAAAGAGAAAUAUUUGUCUGUUGCAUCUGGUAGAUGAUGACAAGAAAAAGCAUCUGCUGAAAUGGAUCCAUGAAAAUAAGCAAUGUUUUUGGUAAAUGAGAAAUUAAUGCAACACAUCUAUACACUUUGACCACAACUGUAUAUUUUAUUAUAUGAAUGUUAUCCCUGGGUCUAUUAUUAACACUGUCUUUGCAAGACUAUCCAUGGGAAGAGGGUAGAAAAGGGUGAGUAAUUAGUAAUGUACAUGUUCUGUACCAGUGGAUAAAGGCACAUCACCACUUACAGUAGGGUAUGGUAAUAAUGUGUUAUAUUAAGGUGCUGUUUUUAUAAGUGACUUCAAAUAUUGGUGACAACCUGUACAAACAUUUAUAAUAUUACUGUCAUAACAUACUCCUAACAUCACAUGUUAGAACCCUAUAUCAUUAUAAUUCUUACAGGCAGGAGCAAAAUAUUGCAGAGUAAUAUUUAUUAUGAUAAAUUCAGUGACAAUAUCAGAUGUUUUACCUUUCAAUCCAUUAAUUCCCAACGACUCAAAGAAAAGUCCAACCUGCAUCAUUUAUAGCAUCGUAUUACAAGUUCACUUGCUUUCUCAAUUGAGCAUAGUGUUAUGAUUGCCAAGCGUCCUCUUAGAGGCAAAAGAAUUUCACAUUGUCCCAUCAUCUGAUCAGGUUAAGGAUGUCUGGUUUUAAGGGUUAGAUUGCUCUCUUGAAGAAGGUAUUGAACACAAAACCCUGCUCUUUUUAAUUCACUUUGUGUGUAAUAAGCAAGCAGAUAGCAAAAGCAGCAGAACAGCUUUGGUGUAGGUAACUGAUCUUUCAGAAUGCCAGCUGUAGCAGAGCCUUCUGCACCUGCAGCAGCCUCUCUCCUUUGCAAACACAUUUUGCCUCCUGUCCUAAACAAACAGGGAUUAAAAUAAUCCCCAUCCUUCAGCUUUAUGCCAUCUCUUGUGGAUUGCUUCUUACAUGCUUUGGCCACCUAGGCCUGGAAGAUGAGCAAGAUGACUGUGACAGCACUUUAAAUUCUCUCUUAGUUACCAGUCAACACUGAAUUCUACUGUGAUGUUUUGGCACAAAAGCCUGAGGCGAUGCUAAGCAGGAGCAUUAUUACCUUUUCUUGCAGAAGGGCAAGACAGUUAUUCAAAUUCCAUCAGUUCAUAAUUCAUCUGACAAGGCACAACAGUACUAAUGGGCGGUAUUUCAAUGACAAAGCUAGUUCUAGCAGCACAGUGCUUCAUAACACCAGCAAUGCUUUGAUUUGCUACUGACAUUGAGAAAAAGUCCCAUCUGAAUGACUAAAUCUACUUCCCAUCUCUAAGAUGCAGAUGUAAAUGGACUUCUUCUAACUAAAGGCUGGCCAGCUCUAAUAUUAAUAAAUGUGGCAAGUUUGAGAAAUUCAUGUCUUAAAAGACGUAUAGUUGCAGCCUCUGAAAUCCUUACAGUAAUUUCACGACCAUAAGGCGCACCGGACUAUAAGGCGCACUUCCGGGUUCAGGGGAAAAUUUUAGUCAAAAGGGUGCACCUUAUAGUCGUGAAAUUACUGUACUUCCCUCCAAGUAAAGUGUCCUCAACCCAAAUCCUCAAAUCAAUCAUUCCUUAGAUCCAGUACCUCUGUCUUUGUGUCAGCUCCUGUUAUUUGAUCUAUGAAUUCUUUGACGUUUUCCAGGGAAAGAGAAAUGCAAGCAGGAGUGACUCAAGAAGAGAAAUGGCAGAGCAGCACAGGCUGUAGUUCCGUGAGUUAUCCCAUUGCCAAUCUCACCUCGUGCCCCAUGCACUGAGAUAAAGAGCUGUGGUCUAAGAGAAGUUCACUGUCCAUGUCCAUAAGUCUAGUUAUUUCCUAGGCACUCCAUUCUAGUGGAAAUUCGUAGGAUAGCAGUCUUUUUCCAUGGGGAAUCCAUAGAGCUUCCUCACAGGCAAGAUUUAUAGAGUUUUAAAUCUAGAUAACAUACUAGCUCAUAAUGCCAUUUGUGUUCAUUUUCUAGUUUUGCAACCAUAAAAACACUUUGUUUUCUGCUUAGCAAAAGUGUGAGCACUGAUGAGGGGACAUUGUUUAGGUUUAGAAGGAAUUCUGAGAUAAGAACUUCAUAAAACUAAACUCAAGUAGUGAUACAAGUUGUAUUGGCCUUAGUGGAAGUACAUGCUCUGCCCCAGAUGUGAACAUGACUUCAGCUUCCCUCAAGAACAAGUGCAAGUACUGACUUAUUACUGUUAGGGGUAACACUGGUGACUAUUGAGCUGCUUUUUCAUAUGAAACUUAGCUCUCAAUACUGGAUAAUUAUAUAAUCUCGCAGGACCAACCCAACAUCAUUAUAAUGUGAUAACAACAGCGUUCCUGUUAGGAUGACUCACAAAGCAUGAAACGUGUCUAUACAUCUACGGGGUUAGAGGCCAGAAACUGAAGUUAAGACAUACCAAAUAACCACCAAUAACAGUUGUAUCCUGUCUGGUUUUAUUUUCUCAAGACAAUGUGUAUCCGAGCCUUUAUUUCUUUCUGUGUCAGGCGCCUGGAGCGGCUGCGUGCGCUCCUUGCGGGAGGAAGGGGUGGGAGGGGUGGCACGCUUCCUGCCCGCGGCUGUGCGGGCAGCGCGAUGGAGCGGCCGGCUCGGGGCUGCGGCUGCACCGCCGUGCUGCUUGGGGCGAACAUCCUGGCACACAGCCCUGUUCCUGUGGUGGUGCUGUGCCUCAGCAAGCCCCUGCUCUGGAGUUUUUUACAGAGCUCUUAUCAGGGAUUAUCCCUGACAAGUCCAUACAGCAAUGAAGCAGGAGUAGUGUAACAUACCCUGGUCCAUAGCUCACUGUCACACAGUGGCUGCAGGUGUGGUUCCAAGCACUCAAACAACCAAACUGGCUCCUAAGAGCAUUAAUUAUGAAGUAGUUCUUAAAACCAUUUUAUGCACACGACAGUGACAGCAUUUAAUGAGAUAGAACAUAUGCAUUAUUCUACAAAAAGAGACACAGAUUUGCAGUCCUAAAUUAGGGAUAACUGCAGUCAAUGCGGGUAGUCACCUCCCCUUCCAUUACUGGACUCCAUGACCAUGGUCAUUAACAUUUAUAUAAACCUGGACUCCAGUAAGUGCCAAAUUUGUCUUUUUCACUUUGCAUUGCUAAAAGCAGUGGACAAACUCUGCAAAUUUGGAAGCUUCUCACUUCCCAAACAUGGAGUAUUGCUUGUGUAUCCCUGAAGGUUCAGGUAUAAUUCUUGUUGAUGCUCUGUCCAAAAGGACAAGUAGUGUUUAUCCUAUAACAGAACACCAUAUGAAUCUUCUUAAGGUCCAUUAGGUUUUUCAAGGCCCUCUGAGUUGCUUUCAGUCAUUCUUUGUCAGACAAUACAAGACACACUCAGCUCAGAGGUUUAGCUUACAGUGUUUGCUCUGUAAUAUCACUCAGGAGAGUGACAAUUUCCUCUGAGUAUGUUUUCAGUGGUGAUAAGAUUUUCUGCAAAUCCACCAUUUUAAAUAAUCUUGGAGAAUGUUUCCCUUCAAGGGUUUCCUUUACUUGGGCCUAAACUACCUGAGUUUCUCCUAUCCUCCCCAUGAAGAUUUUUCUUUCUCCCGGGAGCCUGGAUCACAGUUAGUGCAAGAACAAUCCCUCAGGAAUCAUUCUGGCACUGCUUUCCAGGAACAUCUGCAGACCUGUCAGAAGGUCAGGGAGUGCAAGCAGGUGGUGAGAUAAGUGCACAACUGCAAAUCUGGCUGUUGGAGGCUUUAAGUUGCUGCCAGAGUGGCAGGAAGGGAGGCUAGCAGAGCAAUUAAUCUCAGAGCCCAGCUUCUAGAGGAGUUUUCCACCGUGGCCUAGGCAAUAAUUUUGCUAAAAGGCAUUAGAAUACCUGUUUGGCCAGCUUGGUCAGAAGUUCAGCCCCCAGACCUCUGUGCAGGCAGGAACUUAAUUGUCUUGGUGAGAGCAGAGUGGAAAAAGCCAACUGUGUAAAAACCUCUGAUUUCAAAUCCAAGCAAAAUUUUUUUUCAUUGCUUUUUGAUUCAGAUGGUUAUAGAGAUGCUGUGAUCUGAAGGGACUCUAUGUCCUUGCCUUCACAGCAGAGAGCUGAUCCAAAACCCUUUGGGGAGAGCAAUGAGUUGCACAAGGGGGUCAGCACCUGCUGAAGGAGGGCCCAGAUAUGUAGUGCAGCCUGACUGCAGGGAGCCACCUCCUACCCUCUGUGGGGAACAGGCUUGCUCAUCUGAGCUAUAGAAAGAGCAGUGACAAAAAUGCUGUCAUCUCUGCUGUGACACUGGUGUCUCCUGUCUGUCAGACUACUCGACAGGGUGCAUCCAGGGCCUCUAGCAGUUUAUUAGGACUGUGCAAGUGAGCUGAUAAGCCCAGAAGAAGGUUGGUGAUACGUUUAAGCUGAUUUCCUCACAAUUUUGUGUCUGGUUCUGCAAACCCACCUUCUCUUUUCACAUCCAGUGACAGCUACCACAUACCUGGAUCAAAGAUACCAGUUUUCCACCUUUGGUAUUGACACUUCUGAUUUCUCAGAUGUUAGGCAGAGCUGCCACAGCAUACAUAGCACUUGUAACAGGACCAGUGAACAGGUAUUUUACAGUAGUAUUCUGUAUAGCUUAUAUCAGUGGACCUGCUUAGGAACAAGGUAAAUAAAAUGAGUGUAUUUAAACAUUCCCAAAAGGCAUAAAAUAGCACUACUAGAGUGAUUACAAACCAUGGCUUUUUGCUUCUCAAAGUGUCAUAGGAGGAAUACACAAUGCCUGUGAUUAUGCUACAUCUGACAUUCUGUGUUCAGUAACAACAUUCUGCUUGUGACAGGAUUAAGUACUACUUUGUUUCUGGACUACUUCCAAAUGUGAGGUUUUUCUUCAUAAAUAAUCUGUACAUAUUACCCUUCAGGCACCUGUAAAAAAGGAAGCACUUUAAAAAAUUUACAAUUUACUUGUUUGCAAGUCCACUAAACGGAAAUUUCCAAGCCUUUCUUACUCUCUUCUGUUACAUUAACAAAACCUGAAACCUUUCUGCAGAUGAGAACAGAAUAGCCACUAAUAUUUCUGUUGGGCUGAACAAUUACUUUUUAAGUCUAUUUAUUCAGGGGCUCAUCAUUUGCUGUAGGCUUCACUACCUGUGUUUUUCUGUGAGUCUUGAGGGGUGGAGUUCAUUUUAAUUUCCUGCUCUUCUACCACACUAGGUAAACCAUCCACUUUUUUUUUUCCUGUCAUAGUACUUUAAUAACAUUAAACUGUGAAAUACUGCUACUUAGAAAAGAAAAAUCACCCCAGAAUUCCUUCUAGAUUAAUCUCCAUGUUACUAUUUCAUGUAUCAUCAUCUAGGUACAUCUUCAGGCUCCCACAAAGGUUUUAAAGUGGCCUAAGAUUUCUAGGUUUGAUAUUUUAGAUUACAUUACCUUGAAAGCAGGAACUCGUCCUUGUUCCUGCAAGUGGCAAACCAGUAUUGUGACAGCAAAACAGCUAAAAUAAUUUUAAUUUUAAAAUAUACCUCUCUCUUGUUCUGAACUCAGGAUACAAAUGCAUCUAUAGACACACGAUGUGAAUCCAGUAAAUACAAGUAACAGAGCUGAAAAUGUGAAGAGACUGAUGAGGGAAAAAAAGUGGUAUCUUCAAGAAACAGAUUCUUUUCCUCUUCUCUGGCAGGAGAAUUCUUCUUUUGAACUGGGCCUUCUCGCUCUUGUAUAAUGUAUCAGUCUGCAAUCAUCAGGAAAGUUGACAUUUUUCAUCCAGUGGUAUUAAUUUUUUGAAGAUAUUGACUGUGGGCAAAAUAAUUUUUCCUAAAGGAAAGACAUUGCUGCCCCAAAUUACAGUGGCAUGUGUGUCAGUGUCUAAAAGUUUUACAGAUUUUAUAUCACCAAAUUCACCAGAUCAAAGCACCUGGCUGUGACUAUUCAGGACACUAUGGUGCUGUAUUCCAGUCUAAGUGAUGAACUAUUAAAUGUGUCCCACUUAUGCAUACACCUGUGAAGUAAGACUCAGUGAAAAUUGUAUUAUACAUGGAAUGGAAAAAACCUCAAGAGCAAGACUAGGGAGCUUUUCCUUUUUGUCUUGCAAAAAAGCAAAAAGCUGAUUUUCUUAGAUAUUACCACAGCUAUUUCAGUACUUUUCAGAAGUUUGAACUAUUCAUGAAGGGAAAUCUGCUAAAAGCAUCAGCUGUUUAAAAAUGUUAAAAGUGGGCGUGCAGAGAACUUACAACAAUCGCUGUUCUGGGCUAAGCAUGGUCCCUGAGAACACAACUGAGAGCUGGACAAAAGGAGGUCCAGCCAUCUAGUGGUAAAUUACCCCGCUGUGCAGCCUGCUGGUGUCUGCCUUCCAGAGGGAUGCUGCGUCUCAGGGCCCCGGUGUGCUCCAGAGGGGAAGAAAAGGACAUUGCACAGAUUUUGACUGGCUCAGGACCUGGCAGCAGUGAGACAUUUGGGGAGCAAGCCAAGGUGCAGCAAAACUGGGAGAAAGGGUGGCAGGAUUAGUGACCACCUCAAACACAAGGGCAGUUUUGGCUGGGUGGACCAGGAAGAGCCUGCACUCAGUCAGUUCUGCACAAUAAAGAGCAUCUGCUUACAGUGCUUGUUCUCUUUCAGAAUACAUCUUCAUCCUAACGAGCUUACAUUUGCUACCCUGCCUGCAUCUGUACAGCAGCAGUCAGAGUAAAAUUUGGGCAGUUUUCCAUAAUCGCACAGCAGAGAACAGCAUGUCCAGUGAAUAUGUACAACCAAAUGGUGCAAUGCACUCCUAUCCCACUUCACACGUGGAAAAGAAAGGUUUAACCCAAAUUCUCACAUUUGAAACAAGGAUGAUGCAAUCAAACAACUACACAGAGAAAGCCAUAUGCUGAGUCCUAGCUGGAAUGAAACACCCAUAAAUUUAUUGAGAGUGAACUGUUUUAUAUCUUCUAUGUGGUUACAAAGUAAUAGAAAAAAACUUAACCUUGGCAAAGCCAGAAGAGAUGUCAAAAGAGUAAACCAUUAAUUACUUCAAGGAAGGUUUAAAUACCAAACUAUUUGUAUGCCUGUAUACCUCUCAGAAUUCAGCCCAAUAUGCCAAAGCUCCCAUUGCAAAAGUGGUAUCAAUGCUUAGAAGACCAAGUCUCCUUGAAAGCAAUCAGAUGCAAGUACUACAGAGCCUAGUUUGCAACUUGUUUGGGCACUGAAAAGAUUUCAUAUCCAGUGGGAUAGUGUAAGCCAGCCUGGAUAUGAAAUGACCAUUGGUAAACUCAUUUGACUAGCUAAUUUGACUGCUACUGAACACUUUUGAAAUAUCAAGUUUUAUCCAAAGCACCAUCCUUUGUUAGUUUACAAACAUAUGAAGCUGUGUUGCAGGUUGUAUUCAGCUUCUAAACACUGGCCAAAGUGCAGAUAUGGUUAUACCAGGCAUAGCCAGGUGAAUCUGGAAUAAUUCUGUGAAAAUCCGAAUAGUUAACUUUCUGCUGUGACAAUUUUUAUAACUGAAACCAAAGCUUUGUUCCAAGUAGUUACCGGAGCAUGAACUGAUUUUAGAAGAACCAUUUGUUCUUUAUCAGAAAACACAGUACUGGAGGGAGCACAGAGGAUAAUGCUUCCCUUGAGGUAGGGGACAGCUAAAGUCAGUUGAGUGUUACUUGCUGACAGCCACUAGUGUAGAAAAGAAAUACAGCUGUGUCCUCCCAGAGUGGUAUCAGCUACUAUAUCUCAAACCUUCACUUCUCUUUGUGAAACGUUUCUAUUACUCACAGUGGAUAGCUAAAAAAAACAGGGAGGAAAUAUCUGGUUGCUACUUUGAAGUGGUACUUGCCAUUGAUUUUCCAAUGUAACACUAGAAAACAGAAAUGCAAAUUCAUCAUGCAUGUUUUGACAAAGUUCUGUUCUAAGGAGUAUUUGGCCAUGGAAAGGGUGACUCUCCUAAUGAACAAUUAUGCUCAGUUUUCAUUUGGCCUUUCCAAACGUGCUCUCUUAUCUAGCUAGCAGGAGAAAUUAACUGCCUGGUGCCUGAAACAUUGUGUUCCCCAGUGGGAUGCCUCAUGCCAUCUGGCUUUGCCACAUUCGUUUCACUAAUGGAUCACACCUGAUAUUUGCAUUGCAUCCUACACCACAACACUUUCAGAGCUGUCUAAAACCACAGACUGUAAAAAGAAAAUGAGGAUAAAAGCUGUACUUCUCACUUCUCAGUUUUACCCACCAGGAAGCUGAAGCAAUAGGCAAGGUGUAAUGGACUUUCUUAAAGCAUCUGAGUAAAUCAGUGGCCAAGUUUGCUGCCUGUUCUGUAGUCAGCAGUAAACAGGCUAGGGCAGAACACUGGAUAUGAGCAUCCUGCUCCAAAAUCUGACAGUCUGCUUUUCCUUUUUCUACUGGUGAGAAAGACCUCAUCUCUGGGAUGGAGUAGUACCCAAAACUGCAUUCCUUUGCCAUAUGUUUUGUAGAUUCAUUGAAACAGGGUUAUUUUUUAAAGACUUGAAAGUGGAAUUUAAAAGCUGCUGACUUAAGAAAAAGGGGUCAAGAAGGAGAGCAACAGAAAAGAUCAAUGUUUGGGGGAAGAAAACAUGGAAACAGCACCUCCUUCAAUUUGUAAAACACCCACUGGAGUCAGGUUGGGGUGGUUUGGAUGAGUACAAAUAUACACAAUCCUGGAGACAGUUGAAGCUCUCUGCACUUGGGGCACCACUGCUGUCUCACUUUCCACUACUCUGCAGGUUGCCUGCUGCACUCUGCAAACACACUCCGCUCCUGUGGCUAUUUUUUGAAGCAGCUCCUUAAAACAGAUGUCCUCAUAUAUGUCUCUUCCCUGCUGCACAAAUAACACUUUGCCUCAUGCUCCUGCCAUCCUUUUGAACUACGUUUUUAAAAGAGAAAAAAUGGGGUAAAGAAGAAUGUCCUUUUCCAUUGGUGAUUUCUGUUUAACUUUCAUGGCACUGUCGCUCUGAGGCACCAGAGUUGCUUUUGUGCCCUUCAUAGAGCAAAGGUUUUCACUUUCUGGCCUUCUUGCUUGCCCUUCCAAGGAUUCUUCACUCUUUAGACUCUUUCCAACUCUCUCCCUCUUCUCCUUCUCUGACUUCUGGAUGCACUGCAAGCACUACAGGUCUCAUAAAAAGUUCCUCUGAGGAAGGAUCCACAUGUACCCGUUACACUUUGUUGUCCUUGCAUCGUCUUCUGCAGCUACCAGUGCCAUUGUUUGGCACGCAGGUACACCUGCUUUGGGCAUCCCAAACUUUUCCCUUGGAAGGAAUCACUCUCCUUAAAUACUUUGUCCUUGAUUCUCUUAGUAUUACUAACACUGGUAUUUUUCCUAAAGAAGCAAAUGGAGCAUGUGCAGAAUGUAGUAGCUUGAAAUGCAAUGAUUAAAGGAGGUGCUAAAUUGUGGAAGUAAAAUACCCUUGAUAGAACAUUUGGCCUAAAUGUCAUUACCUGGUACCUUUUGUGCAGACAGGCACUGAUGCUGGCAGCCUAGCUCACUGAGUUGGCAGGAAGUAUCCUUAGGGGUGUAAAGGGAACUGAUCAAUAAGGUGCUUUCCAUGAGUGGAGGAAGCAAGCACAAGCCAGCAGAGGUAGAAGCAGAGGAAUUACGUAAGUCUAUGAACUUUGAGCCCACAUGCGAAACCUCAGCUCCGAGAAAAUCAGUAAGAGUUUGGGGAUUUUGGCUGGGGAUAGGUUUUACCACACAGCUUAUUGGGCAAUGUUUCUACCAAAGUACAAAACUAAACUAAACUAAGCCAAGGGCUUAGAACAAGAGAAGAAUAUUCUCCCCUGUAUCCAAGCUCCCAUGUACAAUCAGCAGCGACACCCGUGGAAGCUAAACCAAGGAAUUAUAGUUUAGAAAAGACAACUUCUCGGAGACAGCCCCGGUGGAAUAAUAGCAUUCCCAAAUAGCUAUUGUAACAGUGUUGUUAACAAGGUCUCUGGAAUGCCAAACAAGGUUUCGACAAUUGCUGAUCACACCCAGUUUCAUUUGCUUCUUCCUAGGGGACUGCAAAAUUACCAUACUGUCAUUUCUACUCCACCUCUUUGCCUGAUGUCUGACAGUGAAGUCCUUCAAACUCCAGUGCCUGCAGAAGCUUUGUUACUGGUGGCACAAGGAUUCUGAACAGGCCACUGUGUAGGGACAGGGUUUAAACUGGACUCAUAAGGUUCAGAACUUGUUUUUUCAGUGUGAGUUUUGCUUUUUUUUCUGAUCAUGUAGCCUCUCUCUCAACAGCCAUGCUCCCCCCCUAAUGCUAGAAAAGAAAAACAGCCUUCUCCAAUUCAGUGCUGCCUAAGAGGAGAUGGAAAGAUGCUUGACAAACAGACAGGCCUUGAACACCCUGUGGAGGUUUUUCAGCCUUAAGUUACAUCUCCCAGCAUGAUUUGGCCAACAGAAGAAACCGAAAAUGGGAAGUGUUGCCUGCUAGGCACAGCUCUGUACUAUGCUGUGAACUAUUACACUUUUGCUGCUUUAGCACAGAAAAUGGAUCACAGUUGUGAUUUCAGGAGGAGGUCAUUGGCCCAAUUGCUUAAUAGUGAGAAAGGGAAAACUUUAGCUACUGUUCUGACAAAAAAAUAAAAAUAAUAACCCAGCAUGAUGUGAGCCUGAAGGUAAACACUGAAGUUUCAUGUGCUGUGCAGUUCCAGAUGAGUGGGCAUGUUAACCACACCUAAACACAAAAUCAAAAUAAAGCAACUUAAUUAGAGAAGAUAAAGUGAAACCAAAUAUCCUCAGCUCCCACAGCUAUGCUGGGGAACAUGGAGGCUCCAGCCUCCUCAUGCCAGCACAUGAGGCCCAUAGGCAGGGAUACAAGCAUGGCUGCUAGAAGGACAAAAGGGUCAGGUCAUGUACCAUGAACAUGGGCACAUAAUGAUAGGAAAUGGGGAAGAAUGUUAAACUAAAGGAAGAGAGAUUUAAAUUAGAUAGUAGGAAGAAGUUCUUUAUUGACAGGGUACUGAGGCACUGGAACAGGCUGCCCAGAGCUGCUGUGGAUGCCCUGUUCCUGGGAAGCCCCAUUCAAGGCCAGGCUGGAUGGGACCACCCUGAUGUCGUGGGUGACAUCCCUGCCCACAGACCAAGGAGUGCUCAGUGUAGCUGCAGUACAGCAUCCUCCAUCACAAGCACUGAAGCUCUCAGCAUGAUAGUGAGAGAGCAGAGAAAGGGAAGCAAAGGCCUCUUGUGUCCUUACCCACUGCAAGGGGCAGGGGGUUAAAAUCCCCCACAUACCUGUUUCACCUACAACUCUAACAUUUCACUGCCAGAACAGGAGAGGGGAUGAUAUUCUCUUUAGGGGAACAGGUUGAGUGUGGUGGACAGUAAGACAGGAGACCUGCUGCUGCUGGCUCUCCACCAGCCCUAGGACAUACAUUCCCAUGACCACAAGGAUAACACCUCCCCACACAGUGCAGACUUCACCUCUCUUAUACAGCCAUCCUGGCAGAUGGGAAGAUAAGCCUGGAAAAUUCAUCCAGAAAGAGCUUGCUGCAGGUCACACCUCUCUUCACAGUGCCGCUAAAGCCUGAGCCACCUCCUCCAGACACCUUCUGUCCCCUACUGUCACCAGCUGAGAGAAAAAAGACUAAUUUUGUUAAACUAGUGAAAACUGAUUAUUGCUUAGUAAGCCUAAUCCAUGCCUGCCCUCUAAACACAAAGGGGAAAAUAUAUGUUCUCCUUUAUAGAGCAAUGAAGAACAGAUUAAGACAAGAAUCUCUUCAGAAUCUGCAAAUCAGUUCCUCUUUCUUUCUAACUACCAUUACAAUCAGGAGGUGAAAUUCUGCUGGACUAAAGCUUUCAGCAGAGUGUGGUCAGCUCUGUGCUCUCAACAUCUUCAUCCUGCAGGCUCACUCCCACUUUGAAAAAAAUAUUCCCCCAUGUCAGAAGCAGUAAAUUUCAAAAGCAGCCAAUUUCACAAGCAGCAUCCAAUGAAAAAUCAUGGAAACUUAGGUGCCUGUGACAGCUGGAACAAAGGUUUAGCAAUACAUGUCAUGCUGUCUCAUCAAACCACGGGCAACAGAUGUACUUUGACACCAAAUCCUCUUUCUUCACAUUUAGGUGUAUUAAUUGAGUAAGGGCUUCCCCUUACUCCCACAUACCUGUUUUUCAUCACGCUUAAUGCAUGGUGUUCUGCCACCCAGAGUGUAAAAUGCAGUCACCUUUUUCUUCAGGUCACAGAGUAACUCCAGCCAUGCUUGAAGCCAAGCAGUCUCCCAGCUGCCACCACCUGAGUCUCACAGCAGUUGAGGCUGAUUUAAAGGCAGCAGAAGGCAAAGUUACAUCAAGCAAAACUGAUCCAUUUCUGCUGCAAAAUUUACACGUGGAAAGACAAGGGCAGGCAAUAACAGUCCAUAGAUCUCCAAAAGAAUUUGGUGCAAGGUGCAGACCUGCACCAAAAUGAAAGCAAUGCAGGAAGGCUGCUGGGUGACCCACGUGCCCUGGGGACAGGGGAAGGUAGCAGAUUCACCUGCAACCAUUACUUGUCUUGUCCCUCUGGCAAUAGUCAGAGGAAAAAGAGCAAGAUCUGUACUCUCAUUCCCCUUCUCUCUUUCUGCAGAUGCAAAUACUCAAAUUUUCAGACUGCUUUUAUGCCUUCCUGUGCUUCAUCACAGAAAAUAUUUGCAGCAGACACAGUGCUUCUGUAAGGAAGGAGAGCCAUCGCCUACUUAAAUCUGGAUUCUCCCUUUGCCCUCUUCUGCUUUGUAGUCUUUGCUUUUCUAUUUGUAUGGUUUGCAGGAAGGAUUAAGGUGUUUCUCUCAUUACCGUCCUUGCAGGGGUGAAACCUGACAGGUUUGACCUAAUGCCAUCACUUCUCUACUGCUGUCAUUGUAACAAACCCACUCUUCUUUCUCAGGGUUUUCAUCACAGAUGCAUGCCAGAUAAAUUUGCCCUACCUGUGCAGGGGUGAAUGACACUCUUAAAAUACCCAAAUCUCCUAGAAUUUAAUCUACAGUACAAUUUAUAACAAAAGGUGCAAAAUGGCACCUGUAUGUCCUCAUAGGUCUAUAAUCCCUAGCUGAAAAAUUUUAUGUUAAUCCUGCAAGGCUUAAAAUCAAUUUCAGGUACAGACUGAAGGGAGUUAACCAGCACUUUCAUGGAUUCAGCUGUCCCAUUCUAGGGGCAGACACCUUGUCUAAUACAGGCAAGAUCUAUGUGAGUAACACUGAUAAGCAUCCCCCAGAGUGGGCUGGAAGGGGUUUGUAAUUGUGUGGUUUCUUGCAAAGAGCCCCGGAGAGUUUCUUGUGGGCCUGUGAACCAAAGCAGAGUUUGAUGAGAACAAAACAAUGAGCACCUGAGGCUUGAUAGCACACUCUGACAGCAGAGAAACUGCAGAUGGGUGCCAUCAUCAGUAACAAGAGGUCAUAAAUGUUCAUAAGUCUAAAAGUGCUUUUCUUCAUGACUAUGCUGGAGCAGCACUGGUCUGCUCCCCUACAGAUACCAGCAUCUUCCAAUCAUCUCCACUGCAGUUGCUUCAUCCUUAUCAGCAAAGCCCACAAAAUUGUUUACAAGGAGCAGGCUGGUCAAGUUAUCUGGCAGCCUUAAAGCUGUCUCUUUCUGACAAAUAACACACUUUCUGCUCUAGGAAGGGGCUGGCCCUUACUUGGAACAGUAAAACAAGUCUAGUGGUAAAUAAAUCUAAAGUCAGAUCCAAUUAAUAUAUCCAAAGGGAAGCCUCCCAGCGUCAGGCAGAUAGGUGAGUUUCAAACCUGAACUUUGACAAAAUAAUAACUGACAACAGCUGCAAACCAGAGCUGGAGAAGUCACAUGCACUUGGAAAGUGGGCUUUGUCUUUGGUUGUGAGAAAAAGAAUGUUCUUCAUUUAUAUCAUCUAAGGCAAGAUAACUAGUGCAAGGCAGGUAAGGGAGCCAGCCAGCCUCAUUUGUAACAACUAACAAAAUGAAACAAUUGAUGGGCAUCAUGCAGUGCUUAGACCACUGUGACUCAUCCUGAAAGGACAAAUAGUCCGUGACAGGAUAUGAGCUGUCUCAUACAAAUAACAUCUCCUUUUUACCCAAUCAAAUGUGUGUCCAUAAAGCCAGAGAACAGGAAGUACAUCCUUGCCCCUGGCGUAAACCCACCUGAUGACAAAGAACAUCUGUCGUUAUACAACUUUUCCAUAGAGCCAUUUUCUAUGGUAGAUAGACAUUUGCAAAAGGAGAUCCUGUGGCAGAUACCACAAAUGACUGAUUGGGGGACAAAAUACUUCUGUCAUAUGAUUCCCUUUUCCAUUGGCAUUCCAUGUGUAUGAUUGAGUUUUAACCUGACUGGUUACAAGAAGAAAGUAAGUUCAUCCAUUCAUAGUUAACUCACAUGUAAAUAAUAUUUCAUAAAUAUUCCCACUGUCUCUUGGCAGUGGUGGCAGCCUCCACUGCAAGAGUGCCUAAUCACAUCUAAGGAAAAUUAUAAAGUCACACUUUGAGCACCAUCCUUGAAAUCAAUGCAAAUUUCUUUACACCCCUGGUGACAUCUGACAGCAAAGGAACUGUUCCAAUUGCUUUAAGAAGAUGUUCUGCACUGAGUCAAAAAGCCAAAGCCCUAAUUACAGUACCAGAAACCUGAGGAUCAGCAGCCACGCUCUUUCCCUUACUGUCAGCCCAGAGGCUGGCACAGCAGGUUCAGCAAGAAGCAAACCGAGCACCAGCAGUGCCUGCAGAACUUCCUUGGUCUUAACCUCAAUGCUCAGAGAUGCCCUGUUCCACUUUGAACCUUGAUUAAAGCUGCCCAGGCUGAGCUGUCAGUGUGACUCAGCAGCAGCACCGAUACCCAGUGUUCACACUGAGUUUCUCACUCUUGUGCAGAGUUUACAGCUGCAUUACAGAUCCCCUCAGAAACUUUAUGUAAGAUAAAGGCAGCCUGUGCAUUACCUCAAGGUCCAUGACAAAUAAUUACCUCAAUUACAUCUGAGGACUAAAAAAAAAAAAAAAAAGCAAACUUAAUGUAGCUAUAAAUCUUACAAUCUCUUCCCCCCUCCAUAUUUUUUCAAAGGAAAGUAAGUUAUAGCUGGAAUUCUCUGACUGUAGGAAAUGUAUCUUCAAUAAGUUAUUAUGUGGACUGGCUGAUAUUGAUGUAAGCUUAAUAAAUAAGAAUUUUUUAAUUUAUAAAUUACAGAGAUGCAUGAAAGUUAAUUUUUUGGAGGUAAGAUGAGGGAUGUUCAUUAAACUUCUUUUACUGCUAGAACUUGUGUACAAAUAAUGCACUAUUAGUUUUAAGAGUAUUUUUAUCUUCAACUAAAUUUGUCUAGAAAGGAAUUAUUUUUCAGGAGGCAACAUGAUGCAUCAAAUCUGGUUAGACAUUUAUUUGGCAGAGAAAAAUCCACAGUUCUACACAGAACAGUUGUAGCAAUAUCAUCAAGGUCAGGCUUUUACUCCUUUACAGACACAGACGCUCUCAACAUGGAAACUCUGAAAUUCAGAAAUUUAGAAACCUGAAAUUCAAGCUGCAGUAACAGGUAAAAUUCCCUAAAAAGUAAACUUAUUACCUAUGAGAGUGAGGAUUUAAUACAUAUUAGUAUUUAUCAGUAUUAGUUCCUUCCUUUUUGCAAGCUUCAUAAUGAAUUAAUUAUUCUAGAAUAACCAAAGGAAGAAAAAAAGAACUCACAACAACCUUCCUCUAAAGCAGAGCCAAAUUUUGCUCUUGUUAAUUCAUACUUCUACAUUUCUAGGUCAGUCAUUAUGUCACCCAGGAUAGACAGGAUCCUAAUUGGAACAUAAAGAACAAGCAGAAUAGAAAAAAAAGAAAAUAAUAAUCAGGAUCUUUCUCAAAACCGUUCCCUGACUUCAGCCUUUCUUCAAACAGCACAAAGUAGGAUCUGGCUGACAGCAUUUAUUCCCUUGAAGGUCACUCUGAAAGAAAGAGCUACUGUAACUCAAAAAGACUGUGAAGUUUUUUUACUUCAGUGAAGAAGGCAGCCUGAACUCUGGAAGAAGGCAGCAGGAAGAGACAGGCACGUGCUCACCCAGGGAGAUGUAUUUCCCAUGGAAAUACAGCUCAUGCCCCACAGCUGGGGCCCCACUGCUCAGGCUGAUCUGGAGAGCCCAGAGGCAGGGGAAUGCAGAAAGCUCCCUCACUGUGACAGAGAAAGAUGAGUUUCCAGGAUGAGUCACCUCUCUCUCGGUGCCUCUCCUAUUUGACAGUGUUGAGCCAGCAAACACUGACUUUCCAUGGCAAAAUGCAUGAGUGAGGAGAUUAGGCUGCCUUUGUUUAUGGCUGUUUCAUUUAUUAGGUCACGAGGUUCCUGGAGUCAUCAUGGGACUGUUUGGAAACAGCGACACGCGAGGCCAGAGCACGGGCAGAGAAGGUUCCUUUGCAAACAUGCACAAUUUGCAUUUGGUUACUUUUAACUGAAAGAGGAUUUAUAGCAUCAGCAAAGUGAAAACCACACAGUACCUACAGACAGCUCUGCCAAGUGACAUCUGGACUUAGUGAUUUAACUGUUAUCAGGGUGCUUGCAUUUGAAACGACCCUGGUCCUCCUGAUUAGGUGAGGCAGACUUGGAGAGGGGCACAAAGUACUGCUUUGUAAAAGUGCUAAUUAUCAGGAAUUACUCUUUUUUUAUUUGCAAUCAGAUUUUCUGCUUCUGUAAUUUCACUCUUUUUAUGGCUAAAUUGCAAGACUUUUAUUUACAUACUGUAUGGUUUGCAUGGCCCUAGAUGGAAGCUAUUAAGGUGUUAACCAGGCUUCCAGUACUCAACAACUUACACCUACAAAAAAUAUGCAAGCUAAACUGCAAACAGGACUGGCAGAGAGCAGAGUUUAAAAAAACCCACAACUAAACCAAAGAUAUCUCCUCACCCUUUUGUUAAGUGAUAGUUCUGACAUUUCUGCCACCAGACUGAAUUGAAAGGUGAGGCUCAAGCUGCAUUUUUUUGUGGGAAGCUACACUGACACAAAUGGAAGUGCCUUCUCACAAUGCAUCGUUGUGCAGGAAAUUCAACUGCUAUGUCAACUUCAAAAAACAAUAUUAUAAAUUCAUUCAGAAAGGGACUCACCAAAGUAAUGGAGACAGAUCAAUCAGAAGCUGUUAAACACAGCAGUCUUAGGUACAUAGUUUUUUGCCAAAAGUGGACAGAGUGUCCCAAGGGAAAAAUCACACUAUGGAUCUUUCAUUCCUCAAGCUGUUUCCUAAUCAUCUGUCACUGGCCACUGUUGGAAACAGAACACAAAGGAAGGCAAACAGCAGAGCUCCUGACUCCCAAGUGAGCCAGAAAAGUAAUUUUCUGUACGGAAUGCUCCAAGUAAUAAAGUAUCUUUAAAGCUUUACUAGCAGCAAUGAAACUCCUGCAUUUGGGGGAAAUUUGGGGUUUUUAUACUGCGUCCAGAGAAUAAACAGGUCCUGGAUUUUACCACAUGGAGACAAGUGAAGCAUAUCCCCUUCUAAUGAUAUUUGAGUCUACAGAACACAAGUUCCUAUCAGCCCAGGUGUUACAGUUACAUAUAAUUAAUUUUUCUUACUUGUACCACAACUCACAGUAAUAGAUUAGAAUUAAUAAAUGUUACAUUUUUAUCCUCCUACACUGAAGGGAUAACAAUAGUCACAUCAAACUGCAUGCUGAAAACAACUAUCAGCAUUUUCAAAAACAUCCACCAUGGUUUAUGAGUUACCUUUCUAACCCAGGCAGCUAUAGAAAACCGCUCUAACUAUGGCAUUUCCAGCUUUGGACUGUGGCAAGGCACAAGAACAAUUUCUGCAAGUUAUUUUCAUCUUGAACAUCUCAUUGCCACUAAACAAAAGAAGCUCUCUCAAGGGCUCACUGCUAAAGCCAGUCCAUGCCACAACCCCCUGCCGCAGAAGCCUAUUGAUUUUUCCAGGUGUGUUAAGUCCGUCUUGGUGGGGCAGAUAGGAACAACUUUACAGGAAAACACAGUGAAGGUGUUUUUAUGUAAUCCUAAACAUAGCAAACACAAUGCCAGCUGUUGGGAAAUGGCAAGGUACUGCUGGUUGGUGUGUGUCUUUUUACUGGAGUUCCAUUUCGGAUAUGCUGCCUACUGCUGUAUUGCCAAAUGUCUCCUUCCAUGUGUGUUCACGCUUGAAGUUUUUUACAGACUCACCUUAUUGCUGCUUGAGGGCAGAUGGCAGCUGGAGGCCACCACCUGGAAAAUGUGCACUUGCAAGUAUUUGAGUCAGCAGCCAAUCAUUUCAGCCAGGAAGGAGGUGGGAACAGGCCCAGCUGUCAAAUCUUUCCAGAGCCUAUCUGUAAAUAAAACACACACCUGGUGACACUCCCAAACACACUUCUGUGUGCGUAAUCCACAACCUGCUGCAGGGAAAUGUGGCCACAUUCCCUCAGCAGAACAGCCUUGCACAAAAUAGAGAAAAGAGGAUUCCUAAAAGCCAGGAAUGGCACUGGAGUCAGGGAGUUUGCAGUCUGGGUGGACUGGAGUUGCUCUUACCUGUGCCUCUGGCAAACCAUCUGCCCAAGCAAGCACCUCAUCCUGCUGGAUCUUCCUAAUAUCUGCCAGUUCUAUGUCAUUGAGGAGUUCCUCUUCCCAGGGCAAAAUUCCUAAACCACACAUUCCUUUCCCUGAGUCUUUCUAAAGCCUCUAAGCAAAAUCUAGAUAACAAGAGAUUGUCCCCAUGUUGCUUAAUAAAAAGCAAAAAAGAAACUUCGCUGAAAGGAAAAAUCCUCCAAACCAAUAAACUAAGUUUUUCAAGUUGUCGAUGACUGUUUUCUCCAUGGGAACAAUGUGGCAAGAAUGGAACAUACCAAAUGCCACAGGGCUGAAGUUACUGGAAAACAAGAACUCAGUCCUCAGUGUUCACUGAAAUUUGUAAAAACAUCCCAAACAAUUAGGUCUCACUAGAUGACCAAAACAAAAGAUUUAAGUCGCAGCUUACCUGACUUGUUUCCUUUUCUACAGGGCCUCACAUUCAAUUGGUUUACUUUUCUGUAAAAUAUCACAGAGAUAGAAGAACGGUAAGGAAGCCCUGUGAUUACAUUUUUUACCCCAGCACUCCACACUCAGACAUGAAGACCAGGAUGGACUUUGGCAGACUAUCAGGAAGUGACAAACUUUUCUCUGCCUUUCUUCCUUUCACAUUACCCUAGAGCCUUCUGCUAACACCUGAGCUGAACAUUGGACCAAUGUACGGCAAACUCCAUCCAGAGAGCCAGUCUUUCUUUUCUUGUCUGGUUGAUGUUUACAUAGGGAAUUUGCUGCAUAGAGCUGCAAACUUAUUUUAUUCCUCACUUUUUCUUCUACAGUUAGAAGGCCUUUACAGUCAAUUGUCCCAAUGGAGACCUCAGGCUGCAAAGUGGAAAAUAUGCACUGCCCUGUCCAACAAAACUGUUUCAGAAGCUCCAAUUUCUGCCCUCUAGUAAGGGACCAGCACGGGGUGAACUGGAAAGAUCAAAAAUGCUGCAUUAAGAUAAGUAACCAAUAGAACUGAUACAUGCACAGCAGUCACCUCACAGAUCGGCUGCAAAGGAGGAAUUACAAUGUUUAGAACAAAACCUACAGAUUUGAACACUGUUUUGGGUUCACCACCUCAGAUCCAGGAGAAGCUGUUUCAGCACCCCAGUAGUUACGUGGCUUUUGAGUAAUUGUUUCACUGUCCUCUGGCACAUUCCUGUGAGGAUGCUCCUCUAACUGCUGCUGGCCACCCCCUCUCAACUGAUAGGCAAACUGAAAGAAUGUCUUUACUAUCUGCAGUCUCCAUUUUAAGGUUAUGGCUCAGCUUUGGAAAAAACCUCCUCAAACCAACGCUAAAUAAAUGCACUAGACAGCUGGGAAUUUCUUCUCUCUUCUACUCCAAGCAAACCAACCCAGCUGCAGUCAGCAUGCAGGUACAUUAACCAGUAUGGUGCUCCAGAACUGCUGGAAAAUGUUAGCACUGCAAAAACAGUUAUAUAUAAAAUAGUCAAUAAUGUCAGUAAUAAUUAGCACUGAACACAGCUCAGCAAUGCUGAGGAGAUCCUCAGAAACUGUUAUAAAACAGCAAAAAUAAAGCCUCUCAAAACUGACACAACGCAGGGAAGAAACCAGGAUUUUAUGACAGAAGUAUUCUCAAAUGUAGUUAAAACCUGUACAAACCUCCUUACGAAGCCUGGACCCAACACUCUAAGGCACAGCACUCAUGGCAACAGGACAGUCAGCAAAUGAUCUCACUACACACAUCUCACACUGCCAAGGUAUUUUAUUCCCUUGCUGAUGCAUGCUAGUUCUGCUGCAAAUUCCUUCAGGGGACAGGAACGCAGACCUAAGCCAUAGUUCAAGCUUAUCCGUAUUAAAACAAAGGCAUGCUACACUCCAGAAUUUCCAAGAAGCUGAUUCUCUCUUGUUCAAACCUAGGAAAAACUCUAAAAUUAAAGGCAAUGAGUGGGACUGAGCUGACAAGGUAAUUUACUUAGAGAUGACCCCAAACCAUACUACUUCUAAUGCAAUUAAGAACAUAGAAAGAGGAACGGUUGGGUUGUUUUCAACCCAGUUCUGGCAGAACACCUAGAAUUGUGCAUUAAUACUCAUCUUGAAAGCCAUACAAGGGGCAGGGUUAGUGCACAGAACAACAGGAUGUUAGAACAAUAUCAAGUGCACAGAAGCAGGAGCAUGUUUGUAGAAAUGCAGUUGAAGGUGAUCAUGUCAGAGAGUAGAAGUGAAAGCCUCAUCUCUCAGUCCCAGAGGUUCCUGAGAGCAGCCACAGCACAAGCUCAGAGAAGAGCAGCAGCUCCAGCUGCCGAGAGCUGCCUCAGCACAGGUGUCCCCUCAGCAAUGCCAUGGCUCCUGCUGCUGUGAAACAGUUGUGCACAGCUGUGCAGAGACAGCUGGAGAGCACUGCCUCUAGUGAGAAACAAUGGCCAAGGAAAACUAUCAAAUCCAUUACAAAAUCUAAUUCUUCCUUUAGUAUCAUUUUCACAUUUCACACAAAUGUCAAAGAAUCAUCUAUUGCUUAACAAGUCACCCAUAUCCAAUGUUUUUUUCCAGCACAUUGCUCAAAUAGGUACCGCUGUUACAGUUUAUGACUACUCUGCACCACUAGUAUGACCCCCACAAAACAUUGGCAAAGCACCAAUUUAAUGAAGAGAAAAAGAGACUUCAUGUGGCCUUGUCACAUUCAGAACCUUUAAAGAACAGUGAUGGCUGGGGUCUACUUUAGCCGUAAUUAAAAGAAUACCACAACCUUGAAGGGAGAAUUGACCUUAAAGUUCCAUGAAAGUGUCAGUGCUUGAAUCCAGUUGUCAAUUUCUAUUGCUCUCCAAAUGACCUUUGAAAAAUCCUCAUGGCCUGAGGCACAAAAAAUUAAAAAAUAAUCAAACCUCAGUUCUGCCCUUGAUGCCCACCUCCCCCUGCCCCCCCUCCAGCUGGUGGGUACAGGAAGACACCUCUACCAAUCAAGCAAUAAAUACUUAAGGGACCUUUCUAAGCUUUUUUCUUGUUUUGCCCAAUCUGGGAUGCAUCUGUCCCCACAUGUCAGCCUGCAAAUUUCUCCCUUAUUUUUAGGGAAGGUACUGAAGGAUGAAUUUUCCAGGUCCAGGGAAACUUGGAAGCAGCAUCUCCACCUCUGGAGUUUGGUAGUCACCAUUUCCUCGCUGUGCAUCACUCCCACUACAAACACACAGCAGGAACUGAGGCCGUGGAGCAAGGUCCAUUUACAGCCAUGUCAAAUGUCUACUCUUGUAUCAGAAAGCCUCUCUGGCACUGAAGUGCACAGCUGUGCAGUGAUGACACCUACACAGUUUCUUUCUGGCACUGAAGCCCCCAGUGGACAGCACAGGCAGACCAAAUCCCUCCUGAGACUUCCCAGUACUGUCUCCAGCUGCUGGAUGUCAACUGCAGUGGCACUACCAGAGCUCCCAUUAAGGGUUCAGCUGCACUUUCCUGGUUGAUCCACUACACCAUACUCAGGCUACUCCUUCCUACUAAAGAAACUCUGGUAAACAAGGGGCGAACAGUGAUUUUGCAAUCAUGUUACACUAAUUCUGUCUAAAACAAGGCUGAUGUGUGGGUGAGCUGCAGGAGCCCCAGCAACACACAAGCUCAAGCAAACACAGGUUUCAAAGUUGUUCCAUACUCAUUUAUGUUUAAUCUGCAUUUCUCUACAUCCCAUACAGAGUCAAGAAGCUGAGACAUAAGUUCCUCAGAAACUUUAUUUUCAUUCAAACUACAGAAAUAAAAUAGUACCUUCCAAUUUCCCAUUAUAUUUUCUGCGUAUUUGUAUGGCUCAGGGCAAGAUGCACUAGGAUAAACUACCCUGUACAUACGGAGGAAGAUAAGGCUCAAAAACUAGCUUUAUUUCAAAGAAUGCCAAACCUUACCUAUGAGGUUGGUUCCAACUCUUUGAUAACAAUAAUAGGCACAACAUAGGAAAAAAGAUUGAUCUAAACUACCUAUUGUAAGCAAAAUCCAAUAUUCAUUACAGAAAGUCAAAGAAACCUUUUAGAAAUAACAAAACAAUUUUCUACUUUGAAAAAAUAGAUGAGUCAUUUUUGCUUUAUAUAUGGUAUAUUCACACACACUUUCAAGUAUCAUUUUCACUAUUAUCAUACUUACAUGGCUAGAGAUAAAAAAAUGAAAUCCCAUAAGCAGAUUAUUAUGCCAAAGAAGUCACACACGGUCUUUAUCACGGUUUAGCAACACCUGGAAUCUCCACUGUAUCACAGUGACUAAAAAAGCAGUGACUAGACUCAGUGUAAUUUUUCCCUUUAUUAAACAUGUUUUAGUAAGGCUUGAAAAGCAUCAGGAUUUAGAAAAAUGGAGACAAGAAAAGCAUAGGCAGUCAUAAACCUCACAGUCAUAAACCCCACAAAUUCACAGCUAAGCUUGUCACAUGCUCAGUACUAGCAGGGAAUUAAAAAAAAAUAAAUCUGAGUUAUGUUUGGUUAGCAGGCAAACUGAUACCAACAGGCAGACUUCAGCUAGGAUCUUUUUACAUUUAAGGCAUCACACAAAAUGUCAAGUUAAUGCUGGGAAGCAUAACAACCACCAUGUGCACAGCCAUAAUUCACACUUAGCUCUGGACAUCAGAACCUGCUUUAUUUCAAAAUAGAAAGGCUAGGAGGGAAUCCCAUAGUCUUCUGGGAAAGUGCCAGGCAGUCACCAAGCAAGAGGAAGCGUGACCAUGGUUUUUAUCACAGGAGAAGGAAUUUAAGUGCUUAUUAAAGGUUUUGCUGCAGUGCCAGAGCCAGACACCUGAAAACAUAUUCUGGCAGAAUACAGAACUUCUAAGAGCUAAAAGGCUAAUCUGUUCAAGCAACUGCAGUGAAUGGGUGUCCCACAAAGAGAUCAAAACCAGCAAGCCUUUGGGACUGGACAGCUCCUGGAGCUCUGACGUUAUGAUGGAGAGGUGCAGCAGGUGCCUUCCUUAGGACUGGUUCCACUCUGCUUGUUAAUGCACUCUGCACUUCUGCCCUCCAAAGAAUUUAAAUGGACAGGUAUGAAAUGCCUCAAAAUGAAAUAGUUAUAACCUAUUUCCUUCUUGGUCAUGUUAUUUCCAUUUGCCUGUUUCUUGCCCAAUGGGAAAAGGCACACAUUCUGCACUAAAAAAAAAAAAAUAUUUUAAGACCUAAGUAAAACCUAUUCACAAAAAAAUUUCGCAGAAACCACUGACUUUAAGAGGGCAAGGUCUACUAAAAGUUAAGUGCCAGGCAGCCUGAAAGCUUUAUGGUCUUAACUAUCAAGCUCAACUGUCUGGUUGACAGUCACUUGAGUGCAGGAUAUUCUUAAAAACUAGUUUUAAAACCAUCAGGCCAAGACUCAAAAAGAAAGUUGCUUUGAAAUAUGGGAGGUCAGAUACUAAAGAGAAGAUCCAUGUCACUUUCAGAGACUAAAAUGCAAUGUUUUAGGGGUUUUUUUUGCAUUUAGUCAGAGUCCCAGAAUGGAGUCCAGAGUACUUUUCCCAAGCAAUUUAGUAAGAAAGGAUUCCAUUAGGAAUCCUCACUCCAAGCUUGGCUAAAAGCCAGUACUCCAAGUUUCCAGAAUUUGGGUAACAUUAAAGUUAAGUUUCCUGAGCUAGAGACAACUUGAUACAUAAGACAGUGACACUGCAGCAGGACAAACAGAAGUGACAAUGAAAAGCAUUGCACAGCCCAAGACUUAACAUUAUACCCAGAAACUGACAAUUCACACACGUUCCCCUAUCUUCACAGGCUGUGUUUUGGCACAUUCUUACAUCUCUUCUAGCACAGCAAUUACUGCUUUCCUUGCUCUGCUGGUUUUGUACCACAUAACACCCAAUUCUAAAAGAUGCUUUAGACAUUUACUCUGUAGUCCUCCCAGGCUUACUAAAACCAUUGACAACAGCCACCCCUUUAGCUGGGAGUUUAAUGACACCGAAUAUUCUGCAUCAAUAUGAGAUACUUCAACAUUUACUGCUUUAUCCUCUCCUGAGCCUGUGGUUGUUAUAUUAAUACGCAGAAUGGAGAGCUCUCAGCUUUCUCCCUUAGCACACAAAUAAAGACUACACCAUUAUAAUCAGAAGAACAUUAGUAUGCAGCACGAAGUGAUUUGCAAGCUGGAGAAAACAAGGUUCGUGGUCAUUUGUUUCCUCUAAAAAUGAAUUAAAGGCAUAGGCUGUAUAUUUGGAAAAGAAACAAUGUCAGCUAAUUUCCUCUCAAGUCUUCCAGAAACACUGCAAUUGUAAUUUUAGCAGCAAAGAGCCUCAAAUUAACCUGCCUGCAGUUUUCAUACUACAGUGCAUGUUCACUGGCUGCAUCAGUAGGUUCAGGCUCAAAAACCUGAGGCCAUACCAAAAAACUUACCACUUUUCUAGAUGAACAAAAUGCUGCUACCCUAAAUAAUAUUCUGGUCAGUCUUGUAGUGAAAUGAGCAAACCCAAUACUAUGUAGUUCUCACAACAGCACUCAGUUUAAUACCAAUGGUCUUUACAAAAGGGCAGCACUACCACUCAAGUGACACUCCUUUGAGGGAGCCUGGUCACUGUGCUCCCAAAUCACACACAUGCAGUCAGCACUUGGGAGGCUGAUUCAUCUUCACAUUCCCAUGCAUGCAAGCAUUACUGAUGAUUAGCUGAACCUGGAAAACAGGCAUGGACUGCUGUAUUCUACUAUCAAUGGACCUAUUAAACAAACCUGACUUGAUCUGCACACCUGCUGAAUCAGGACAGGCAACCAGUUACACAAGAAUCCACAGAAACCAGCAUACAAAACAGUGUGACAGCUGGUGAAUGUGGACAGGGCUAUCUUGGUUAAUGACCAAUACUGAAGGCAUAGCAUCUUUAGACAGAAAUGUCUACUCUAAGUGUUUCUAUUAAACAGCCUUAAUAAUGAUAGACAUUUUUGGCAUAGUCUGAUAUGCUCCUUACGACACAUUUCUGAUCAAAUGUGCAAGGAAAGUGUUCAAGUCUACUUCAGCACACAGACACUUCAGUGCUUUCAUCAGGCAGAUUCAACUGAAGCUUCACUGCCAGUGACUAAACUUGCUUUAAUAAGUUAUCAUAAAGAUCAAAACCACAGUAAGCACCUGCCUUGACACUUAGCUGAAGAAAGGCUCCAUAGCCCGAGCAAGAUCUUUAAGUACAUCACACACUUAAAAUAAAAAGCAAGAAAUCAGCAAUAAAGCACUGAUUUUGCUGCAUGCUCUGCUUUAAGAGGUGGAAAGAAAAAGCCUCUCAUCUUUUGCUCAAAACAAGUGAACUCAACCCUCAAUCUUUUCCAAGUAAACUUACAGCUCUCCUGGAAUAACUUUCAAACAAUGAAACAAAGCUUCAAUUAGUCAGACAUGUAAUAGCAAGCUAUCUAGAUACUCAUACUUUUAUUUGUAGCCAUGUCUCUGGUAUGCUCUACUUUGCACUUUAUGUAUUAUAUCCUUAGAGCAGAAUCACUCACUAAAGCACUUUUACUGUAGCUCCUAUCUGAAACUUAACAGCUUUCUGUGUACCCCUGAAAUUCUUGGUUGGGCAUAAAACAGAAAUCAAAAGACAAACAACACAAACCAUGAUCAAUUAGACCAACCACUAAGAAAGAACAGUAGCCACAUUGAUAGAAUUCCACUUUGAUUUAGGGUGCUAUCUAAUAGGUUUAUUAACAGUUUCAACAGACUAUAGCUCCAGACUUUUUCUUUCUCAGAAGACACUACGUAGAAGCCACAGUAGAGACUGCCUUGUCACAAGAGGUACAAAUACUUGCUGUAUAGAUGGAGAAAUAAAAGGACAAAUCUAGUUGUCUAAAAGACAAUUCACUGUACACAUUUUAUUUACAGUUUUGUACACUGUCUUAGUAUGAAUGGGACCGCUUUUCUACUUGAGCCAUUUUAACCAAAGCAAAAUAACCUAAGUAAUACAAAGUGUUAAAAUACAGCGUAAGAUACAAAAACAGACAUACUAUUUCUAGUAAGGAAUGUAAAUUAUGGUGUUACAUAAAAAAAAUUCCACAUUUAUGUUUAGGAAAUCACACAAAAAGAUCACUGAUUUGACUGAAAUGCAUAAGUCUGUAGCAAAGCUUUGAUGUUACAAAAAACCAAAAAAUUACCAAAGAAUGCACAAAAUUAACGUUUAUUCCACCUUUGUCAUAUUCCCAGAUUCUUCACCAAAUGUUACAUGAGCAAAAACAACUGAAAUCAAAGUAUCACUAAUGUUAUCAAAUAGGGAAAACAAAUAAAUUAAUCUAGCAGCCAUCAGCAGAGGUUACAGCAAAGAUGAUGCUGUAUAAAAAAAUUGCUAGAAAACUGUAUGCACCAUACUCUUUUUCCAAACCAGCAAAAUCUUACUGCAUACAAUGCAAAUGUAAAACAGAGUAAUUUCCUGCAGGUACAGAAAUGCAACUUCUUUUCCGCAUACUGUGGAUAAACAAAUUAUUUUUUGCAAUAGUAAUGUUUCUACCAAGCUAUUACAGAGUGGGCUAGAAACACUUAUGGAUUUGGGGGGUGAAGUGUACUAAAAUUCCAAUUGGUAACUGUUACUUCAGCAAAAUAGAAAAAUUGAACAUAGAAG